This 449-nucleotide ribosomal RNA is filed under the name uncultured bacterium. RNAcentral describes it as "partial 16S ribosomal RNA". It matches the Rfam family "Bacterial small subunit ribosomal RNA", at positions 29 to 523 of the family's 1533-position model. The record is from RNAcentral.
AACGAACGCUGGCGGCAGGCUUAACACAUGCAAGUCGAACGCAUCCUUCGGGGUGAGUGGCAGACGGGUGAGUAACGCGUGGGAACGUGCCCUUCAGUUCGGGAUAACCCAGGGAAACUUGGGCUAAUACCGGAUACGUGCGAGAGCAGAAAGAUUUAUCGCUGAAGGAUCGGCCCGCGUCUGAUUAGCUAGUUGGUGGGGUAAUGGCCCACCAAGGCGACGAUCAGUAGCUGGUCUGAGAGGAUGAUCAGCCACAUUGGGACUGAGACACGGCCCAAACUCCUACGGGAGGCAGCGGUGGGGAAUAUUGGACGAUGGGCGGAAGCCGGAUCCAGCCAUGCCGCGUGAGUGAUGAAGGCCUUAGGGUUGUAAAGCUCUUUCGUCCGGGACGAUAAUGACGGUACCGGAAGAAGAAGCCCCGGCUAACUUCGUGCCAGCCGCCGCCGUAA